GAUGAACGCUGGCGGCGUGCUUAACACAUGCAAGUCGAACGAUGAAGCCCAGCUUGCUGGGUGGAUUAGUGGCGAACGGGUGAGUAACACGUGAGUAACCUGCCCUUAACUCUGGGAUAAGCCUGGGAAACUGGGUCUAAUACCGGAUAGGAGCGCCUACCGCCUGGUGGGUGUUGGAAAGAUUUAUCGGUUUUGGAUGGACUCGCGGCCUAUCAGCUUGUUGGUGAGGUAAUGGCUCACCAAGGCGACGACGGGUAGCCGGCCUGAGAGGGUGACCGGCCACCCUGGGACUGAGACACGGCCCAGACUCCUACGGGAGGCAGCAGUGGGGAAUAUUGCACAAUGGGCGAAAGCCUGAUGCAGCGACGCCGCGUGAGGGAUGACGGCCUUCGGGUUGUAAACCUCUUUCAGUAGGGAAGAAGCGAAAGUGACGGUACCUGCAGAAGAAGCACCGGCUAACUACGUG
RNAcentral lists this ribosomal RNA (466 nucleotides) under uncultured bacterium. RNAcentral describes it as "partial 16S ribosomal RNA". It matches the Rfam family "Bacterial small subunit ribosomal RNA", at positions 28 to 507 of the family's 1533-position model. The record is from RNAcentral.